GAUGAACGCUGGCGGCGUGCCUAAUACAUGCAAGUCGAGCGAACGGACGAGAAGCUUGCUUUUCUGAUGUUAGCGGCGGACGGGUGAGUAACACGUGGAUAACCUACCUAUAAGACUGGGAUAACUUCGGGAAACCGGAGCUAAUACCGGAUAAUAUUUUGAACCGCAUGGUUCAAAAGUGAAAGACGGUCCUGCUGUCACUUAUAGAUGGAUCCGCGCUGCAUUAGCUAGUUGGUAAGGUAACGGCUUACCAAGGCAACGAUGUAUAGCCGACCUGAGAGGGUGAUCGGCCACACUGGAACUGAGACACGGUCCAGACUCCUACGGGAGGCAGCAGUAGGGAAUCUUCCGCAAUGGGCGAAAGCCUGACGGAGCAACGCCGCGUGAGUGAUGAAGGUCUUCGGAUCGUAAAACUCUGUUAUUAGGGAAGAACAUAUGUGUAAGUAACUGUGCACAUCUUGACGGUACCUAAUCAGAAAGCCACGGCUAACUACGUG
This 497-nucleotide ribosomal RNA is filed under the name uncultured bacterium. RNAcentral describes it as "partial 16S ribosomal RNA". It matches the Rfam family "Bacterial small subunit ribosomal RNA", at positions 28 to 507 of the family's 1533-position model. The record is from RNAcentral.